UACAGAGGGGGCCAGCGUUAUUCGGAAUUAUUGGGCGUAAAGGGCGCGUAGGCGGCCAUGCGUGUCUUCCGUGAAAUCCCUCGGCUUAACCGAGGACGUGCGGAAGAAACUGCAAGGCUCGAGUCCGGAAGAGGGGGGCGGAAUUCCCAGUGUAGCGGUGAAAUGCGUAGAUAUUGGGAGGAACACCAGUGGCGAAGGCGGUCCCCUGGGCCGGAACUGACGCUGAGGCACGAAAGCGUGGGGAGCAAACAGG
This 253-nucleotide ribosomal RNA is filed under the name uncultured bacterium. Its description in RNAcentral is "partial 16S ribosomal RNA". It matches the Rfam family "Bacterial small subunit ribosomal RNA", at positions 524 to 776 of the family's 1533-position model. The record is from RNAcentral.